UCCCAUGAAGAAUAAGCGUCUGGUUCUUUAAACUGGCCAUCAAGGGGCCUGCUACCUUCGUCAAUCACAGACUUUCCUUUUCCCUCAAUGGGCUCGAAAGUCUUCUUGUUGACAUGGAUAGGAGGCAUAUAACCAACAUGGUUCUGGAAAUCUGCGUGGAAGUUGAUGCAUGUCCUUGUCCUGAGGAAUCUCAUGAUCCAUGGUGCAUAAA
Molecule: long non-coding RNA, 211 nt
Filed under: Hordeum vulgare
Lineage: Eukaryota; Viridiplantae; Streptophyta; Magnoliopsida; Poales; Poaceae
Description: long non-coding RNA (HVUL_LNC013246)
Source: RNAcentral